AUGUAUGUUCCUACAACAUAGAAUUAAUGCACCAAAUCCCAUUAUAAAUCCACAGUUAAGCGAUCUAGGGAUAGAGUAGAACUGGGAUGGGUGACUUCCCAUGAAGUCUUAAUAUUUUACAUG
Non-coding RNA from Picea glauca (white spruce), 123 nucleotides. The record is from Rfam. NCBI's taxonomy places the organism in Eukaryota, Viridiplantae, Streptophyta, Pinopsida, Pinales, Pinaceae.